This 67-nucleotide transfer RNA is filed under the name Tingis cardui. RNAcentral describes it as "tRNA-Trp". Lineage: Eukaryota; Metazoa; Arthropoda; Insecta; Hemiptera; Tingidae. The record is from RNAcentral.
AAAACCUUAAGUUAAAUAAACUAUUAACCUUCAAAGUUAAAUAUACAUUAUAUUUAUGUAGGUUUUA